This 312-nucleotide small nuclear RNA is filed under the name Neogale vison (American mink). Its description in RNAcentral is "Neovison vison (American mink) 7SK RNA (ENSNVIG00000020634.1)". It matches the Rfam family "7SK RNA". Rfam says of the family: 7SK was discovered as an abundant small nuclear RNA in the mid-70s but a possible function has only recently been suggested. Two independent studies have found that 7SK RNA binds the CDK9/cyclin T complex (known as elongation factor P-TEFb). P-TEFb activates transcription by phosphorylating the C-terminal domain of RNA polymerase II. Lineage: Eukaryota; Metazoa; Chordata; Mammalia; Carnivora; Mustelidae. The record is from Rfam by way of RNAcentral.
GGAUGUGAGGGCGAUCUGGCUGCGACAUCUGUCACCCCAUUGAUCGCCAGGGUUGAUUCGGCUGAUCUGGCUGGCUAGGCGGGUAUCCCCCUCCUCCCUCACCGCUCCAUGUGCGUCCCUCCCGAAGCUGCGCACUCGGUUGAAGAGGACGACCUUCCCUGAUAGAGGAGAGGACCGUUUUUCGGUCAAGGGUAUACGAGUAGCUACGCUCCCCUGCUAGAACCUCCAAACAAGAAAGUUGGAGAAUGUAGCCUAUUGGCUUUUAUAUUGCUAGCAACUAUUACAGAACUUAUUACAAAUUUUCUUUUUUAU